RNAcentral lists this ribosomal RNA (253 nucleotides) under uncultured bacterium. Its description in RNAcentral is "partial 16S ribosomal RNA". It matches the Rfam family "Archaeal small subunit ribosomal RNA", at positions 474 to 727 of the family's 1478-position model. The record is from RNAcentral.
UACCAGCACCCCGAGUGGUCGGGACGUUUAUUGGGCCUAAAGCAUCCGUGGCCGGUUCUACAAGUCUUCCGUUAAAUCCACCUACUUAACAGAUGGGCUGCGGAAGAUACUAUAGAGCUAGGAGGCGGGAGAGGCAAGCGGUACUCGAUGGGUAGGGGUAAAAUCCGUUGAUCCAUUGAAGACCACCAGUGGCGAAGGCGGCUUGCCAGAACGCGCUCGACGGUGAGGGAUGAAAGCUGGGGGAGCAAACCGG